This is a long non-coding RNA of Dicentrarchus labrax (European seabass), 1847 nucleotides long. RefSeq lists it as uncharacterized. The record is from RefSeq and is a predicted model, not a curated record. NCBI's taxonomy places the organism in Eukaryota, Metazoa, Chordata, Actinopteri, Moronidae. The transcript is spliced from 4 exons.
UGUUUAGGCUGUGUGUGGUGUUUUCAACUUGUGUGUGUGUUUCUGUCUUUUUUAAUCUGUUUUUUCUGUUAGUAGGCUGGGGGCGCCCACCAGUGGAGAGUUCAGGGAAGUCCAGGGCUCCUGCUGCGGCAGUGUGUCUCUCCUCCCUGUGCUGUAUUAAGUUCUCUGUAACACAUUAAAUCCACAGGCUGUGAAAGAGAAUGGUUAGUUCGGGGAAAGCAAGGAUGAGAAGGGUUAGAGUCAGUGAAAUGAAGGGAGAAAUUGCCAAUAUCUGAUUGACAAGGGCAUGAAGAGGGAGAGGGGGUGCCUGGAACAGAACCUGUAUCCAAAAGGUAACCUUCAGCUUGUUUGAUUGUGUCUGGGUCUAGCCUAUCCCCAUAGCGUCUGUGGGCCCAGUUAGCAGCUACUUUUAGUGCUAAUUGGUCGCCUGGUGUAGUUAGCAGUGUGGCUAGUGUGUCUGUGUAGUGUUUAUGUAGGAUAUGCAUGUUCUCCUUCAUCCAAUUGUUUGUGUUUUGUUUUACUGACUGUGUUGUUUCUAUAGAUGGUGAGGCUGGUUUUAUAAAAAGAGCCAGUUUGGUCACCUGCCUCAUCGUUCCCUGGGGGAAGUUUCCAGUUUGGAUUGCUUCCCUAACAAUAUUCAGAUGAGUAGCUGUGGGCCUGUCUGUUCUCCCCCGGCCUCGUUCAAGCCGGGGCCCACCACCUUCACCCCCGUGAUAAUGACCAUAUGAGGAAGCGCCUACCUGAUUCCAUCUGCCUCCGGGCCGCUGCUGGUGGUAUUGUUGUGGCGGCCUCCAUCCCGUCCCUUGUCGUCCCCUGUCUGGGUUAUGCCUGAAACCAACGAGGCUCGGGUUCUCUGUGUGGCGUUCCAGCUGGGGUCCAUCUGGAUGAUCGUGGCCCGGACAGACGACCAUCCAUGGGCCAGAAAAUGGCUGACCAGAGGCGUGUGGGUUUCCCUCCGCCUCUGGAUGUUGUAGCGGUGUUGGGUGAACCGCUGUAAGAGCGUGUUUCUGGUCUCGCCCACAUACUGUAGGCCGCACAUAAGACAUGAAAUAAGAUACACGCAAUUUUUGGAGUGUGGAUUGCCACAUGCCAUGGUCUUAUGGACUGUUUUAUUGACAUGGCUGUGGAUCCAGGUGGCAUGUUUGAAAAAUUGGCCAUGGCCUCUGGAUUUUGAGGUCGAUAGGGGCUUAACUUUGGCUGUCACCAGAUGGUCCUGGAGGUUUUUGUUUUUCCUAUAGGCUGCUAUGAACCUGUGGUUAUUAAGGAGUCCCGGAUCAAUGAUUUUUUGUUGGAAAUUUUCUUUGAUUUUUCUGCACAGAGCGAUUGCUGGCUUGGAAUAGGUGGUGACGAAGGGGAGUACAUCCGACGUGUCUACUGGUUUUGUUUCCAGAAAGGUGCUGAGGGCCUUCCGCCGGAAGGAGCGUACAUAGCCCCUGGUGGCGAGAGCUCUGAAAAGCGUUUUUGUGGCCGCCAUGAAGUCACUUUUGUGUGUGCAGAUACGGUGGAAACGGAGUAAUUGUGAUUUCAAAAGGCCCCUAUAUGUGUGUUUGGGGUGGUGGCUGGUCUUAUAAAGCAGGGCAUGGGUGUCUGUUUCUUUGAAGAAAACUUUAAUGUCUAAUUUGUUUGUAUGCUGGAAAUUGAUCCCCUUGUAGGUGGUGGUAUCCAAGAAGUCGACCGACGUGGUGCUAGUGGUGGACUUCAGUGUGAUGGACGGGUUGUGAUUAUUCAAGGCUGCCAGGGCGGAGGUCUCCCAUUCGGCCAUGAAGAUGUUGGCAUAUGCCGGUGCAAAUUUUUUGCCCAUGGCAGUGCCUUUAAUUUGUAAAUAAAAUUUGCUGUCAAAUUCAAAA